RNAcentral lists this ribosomal RNA (305 nucleotides) under uncultured bacterium. Its description in RNAcentral is "partial 16S ribosomal RNA". It matches the Rfam family "Bacterial small subunit ribosomal RNA", at positions 508 to 807 of the family's 1533-position model. The record is from RNAcentral.
ACAGCAGCCGCCGCGGGAAUACGUAGGGUGCAAGCGUUGUCCGGAAUCAUUGGGCGUAAAGCGCGCGUAGGUGGCCAUUUAAGUCCGCUGUGAAAGUCAAAGGCUCAACCUUUGAAAGCCGGUGGAUACUGGAUGGCUAGAGUACGGAAGAGGCGAGUGGAAUUCCUGGUGUAGCGGUGGAAUGCGCAGAUAUCAGGAGGAACACCAAUAGCGAAGGCAGCUCGCUGGGACGUUACUGACACUGAGGCGCGAAAGCGUGGGGAGCGAACAGGAUUAGAUACCCGUGUAGUCCCUGUCUCUUAUAC